CCAGGCACCUAUCGAACCCGUCCCUGUUCUCAUGUAGCAGUCACGAUCAAAAGGAUGUAAAAACAUAACUUCCUACGACAGUUGCUGUGUUGUUCGACCUUAACUGAUUCCACAACAUUAAGGGGAAGGACACUU
Salmo trutta (river trout) is the source of this 135-nucleotide small nucleolar RNA. Lineage: Eukaryota; Metazoa; Chordata; Actinopteri; Salmoniformes; Salmonidae. The record is from Ensembl.